GCUGCGUGCGCGUUCAGCACAAAACAAAUGAGAUUAGGCUCCGCCUACCGCGAUCAUUUGAAGACAAAAAUAAGCCCUCAUUGACAUUCAUGAGCAUGAAGAUAUUCAUAAUCCGGCCUUUUCAUUGGCUAAGAGCGUCAUUAAUACGCGAUUUCCCCGAUUCUUUGUCAUCGAUACUAGUGGUAUCGUGUUACAGAAUUAAUUAUUCAUUUGACCUCAUUACGUCAUCUAAUUUAUUCAUUCUGAAACUUUUCUUUCCUCACACAAAAUGGACCUACGAACACUCCGGUUGAGUUUGAAGAACAAGAAAAACAGUAGAGGUCUACCUAUAUGGUUCAAGAUGAUGAUCAUAAGUGCAUGCAUCAUUUUGCAGAUUCUCAUCCAGGAUGAUGCAGUUUUACAAUUUCCAUGGAGGUGAUUGAUGAUGAUAAAUAAUUGGUGAAGUAGGCCUAAUAGAAGAGCGACAAGACCACAAAGAGAAAUACAACCUACAGCAGUUAUAUGAGACUGGUGUAACAAAUGUUUUCAUUCAAGAAAUCCAACAAUUCAACAUUGAAGAGUCUGACUUAGGAACCACUUGAUGAAGAUGGAAAAGGUUUUUUUUUCCAAGUCCAAUUUUUCAACAAAAAAAAAAAUUAUUAUCACAACCCCAAAUUCAUGAUGUAUGACAUUUCUUGUUGAUUUUCAUUAAAACUGGUUGCAAAAGGAGAAGCUAUAAAGAUACAAAUAGGAGCGGUGGAGUGAAGUUGAAAGUGGGGGCAUAGGGAAAAUGCUGUAUUACGUGAAAUUUUCAAGAAGUUGCGAGCGAGCAAAAUUUUGACAUUUAAAAAAAAAAAUCUAAAAUGUUCAGAAUGAUAUAUUUCACCCUUUUCUCUUUUUUUUUUCUUGGUCGUGAUUUUUUUUUUUUUUUUUUUUUUUGGGGGGGGGGGGGGCAAGAGUCAUUCAAGCCCCCCCUCCAUAUGUACGAAACUGCUUAUAUACCUCCACUCAUGAAUUAUUAAACUAAAUGCACAAAGAAUUUCCUUCAUAAGUUUAUUAUCGAAAUGAGAAUAUUGUUUUCUUGUUUCAAAGGGCAAUCAUCAUGGUGACCAUAAAACGUGUCCUUCUCAGGUGAAAGGGGCAAAGAACAAGUUCUUUAGGAGCAUUUUUCUUGGGUAAAAGGGGGCAGUGAUUCGAGAAAGGGCACUUACAAGAAGGCGAGGGGGCACUCUUUAACACAUGAAACGGGCCCUCAGAUGAAAGGGCACAGAACACGUUCCGGGGGGGGGGGGGCAUUUUUGGGUUAAAAAAUUGCAUACAAGGAAGAGCACUUGGUAACACCUAAAACAGGUUCUCGUCAGGUGAAAGGGACACAGUACACGUUCGUAAGGGGGCAUUUUUCUUGCAUAAAAAGGCACUUUUCAGUGCUUCAAGAAGUAGGGGGAACUGUGCCCCCCCCCCUCCCCUCCCCAGGAUCGCUGCCCCAGCAUAAAAAAAAUCUUUUGGUUCAAAGUAUUAACAUACGCUUAAGAAAAAGGUAAAGCUUAAUCCUCUGAUAAUGUGAUAUUUUUUAAUGGCUAAUUAAUAAAAUUCACCACUAACCAG
Molecule: long non-coding RNA, 1584 nt
Organism: Lytechinus pictus (painted urchin)
Lineage: Eukaryota; Metazoa; Echinodermata; Echinoidea; Temnopleuroida; Toxopneustidae
Exons: 4
Source: RefSeq, a predicted model, not a curated record